AAUCAACGCUGGCGGCGUGCCUCAGACAUGCAAGUCGAACGAUUAAAGCUCUCUUCGGAGAGUGUAUAGAGUGGCGCACGGGUGAGUAACACGUAAGUAAUCUACCCUCGAGGUGGGGGAAUAACGUCCGGAAACGGACGCUAAUACCGCAUAAUGCAGCGGCACCGCAAGGUGACAGUUGUUAAAGGAGAAAUUCGCUUGAGGAGGAGCUUGCGGCAGAUUAGCUUGUUGUUAAGGUAACGGCUUACCAAGGCUACGAUCUGUAACCGGUCUUAGAGGACGGUCGGUCACAACUGACACUGAAUAACGGGUCAGACUCCUUAACGGGGAGGCAGCAGUCGGGAAUUUUGGGCAAUGGGCG
RNAcentral lists this ribosomal RNA (361 nucleotides) under uncultured bacterium. RNAcentral describes it as "bacterial SSU rRNA". It matches the Rfam family "Bacterial small subunit ribosomal RNA", at positions 32 to 377 of the family's 1533-position model. The record is from RNAcentral.